AGUUUAAUAGUCAAACUAAUGAUUUUAAAUUGCAAAUUUAAAGUUAAGUAAUUUUUUAAACUU
Molecule: transfer RNA, 63 nt
Filed under: Cteniopinus ruber
Lineage: Eukaryota; Metazoa; Arthropoda; Insecta; Coleoptera; Tenebrionidae
Also listed under: 1 other name
Description: tRNA-Cys
Source: RNAcentral